AUAAUCACCGGGUACCACCACCGAAAAAUACUCACUGGAUACCACCAGACAACUACCCUGGCCCCCCAAUGCAGUAUUACCCUGGCCCCCCUAUGCAGU
This is a long non-coding RNA of Ornithodoros turicata, 99 nucleotides long. RefSeq lists it as uncharacterized. NCBI's taxonomy places the organism in Eukaryota, Metazoa, Arthropoda, Arachnida, Ixodida, Argasidae. The transcript is spliced from 4 exons. The record is from RefSeq and is a predicted model, not a curated record.